Long non-coding RNA from Teleopsis dalmanni, 871 nucleotides. RefSeq lists it as uncharacterized. The record is from RefSeq and is a predicted model, not a curated record. NCBI's taxonomy places the organism in Eukaryota, Metazoa, Arthropoda, Insecta, Diptera, Diopsidae. The transcript is spliced from 6 exons.
AUCCACUUCUUUUUAAACUUUUUUCAAGGAGGCACCAUUCUAUCCAUCCGUGCCAAAAGAAUAGGAAAACUAUACCUCAAUUUUAAACCAUAUAUAAACUUUCAUAUAAACUAAGUUAAGAAAGAGGAGGCACCAUCCAAUCCAUCCGUGGCAAAAGAAUAUGUUAGGAAAACUAUAUCUCAAUUUUAAACCAUAUAUAAACUUUCAUAUAAACUAAGUUAAGAAAGAGCAUUUCGAUUUAAGAUUCUUUCUCUAUAAAAUUUCUUUACACUGGAUAAAAAUUUCCACAUAUUAAAAUGGAGUGAAGUUAAGGAUACGUGUUGUUUCAUUAUACACUACUAUAGAUAAUGAUUCCUUCGACUUCGUAAAUUUUUAUAAUACACAUUUCAUUUAUAAAAAUCUUACUAUAUAUCCUUAUCUUAUGCAAGUUGCUUUGGUUAACAGUACUAUAUUAAUGUAUAAUAUUAAUUAUUUAAUAAAAGACCAGACUUUUUUGAAGAGAGUUUCUCUUUUGGUUAUCAACGGAUAUAAUGAAUGAUUGACUGGUGGAAGGAAGCACAUACAAUAUUUAAAAGCAAUUACAAUGAAAGCAUAUACCUAUAUACAUGUAUAUAUACAUGUGUGAAAAUUUAUAGUACAAAUCUAUAAUGAAAAAAUAACCCCAAAAGAAUUACUUUAAUUAAAACUCUCAAGUGGAUCAAAGUAAAUCUGUUGAAAUCAAUUAAGCAUAUCACUUAAGAUAUGUAUACCUGAUGAUUUUACAGGAUUUAUUUAAGCGAUCUUUUAUGGGAUCAUUACUUAAUUUGUGUUAAUUAACUAAUUAAUAUUAGUUUCAUUUGAUCAUGAUAAAAACUUUCUGAAAAAUAAAUUU